RNAcentral lists this ribosomal RNA (468 nucleotides) under uncultured bacterium. Its description in RNAcentral is "partial 16S ribosomal RNA". It matches the Rfam family "Bacterial small subunit ribosomal RNA", at positions 28 to 507 of the family's 1533-position model. The record is from RNAcentral.
GACGAACGCUGGCGGCGUGCUUAACACAUGCAAGUCGAACGGAAAGGCCCUGCUUUUGUGGGGUGCUCGAGUGGCGAACGGGUGAGUAACACGUGAGUAACCUGCCCUUGACUUUGGGAUAACUUCAGGAAACUGGGGCUAAUACCGGAUAGGAGCUCCUGCUGCAUGGUGGGGGUUGGAAAGUUUCGGCGGUUGGGGAUGGACUCGCGCCUUAUCAGCUUGUUGGUGGGGUAGUGGCUUACCAAGGCUUUGACAGGUAGCCGGCCUGGGCGGGUGACAGGCCACAUUGGGACUGAGCUACGGCCCAGCCUCCUCCGGGAGGCAGGAGUGGAGAAUAGUGCACAAGGGGCGGAAGCCUGAUGCAGCAACGCCGCGUGCGGGAUGACGGCCUUCGGGUUGUAAAGCGCAUUCGCCUGUGACGAAGCGUGAGUGACGGUAAUGGGUAAAGAAGCACCGGCUAACUACGUG